CUUGUUUGAAUCGAAACAAUCGUAUUAGCGUCGCGUCGUUGGUAGAACUGAGAUCAUCAUAACCGCGCCUGUAAGAAUUCGAACGAGCACACACAGCUGCAUAUCUCGCACGAACAUAUCUAAAUUAAAGGUUAAAUAAUUGGUGCACUGAUACAUCGAAUGCAAAAACGAUCUAAUAAACCCGCAUCAAUCUAAAAAAAAUCGGUACGUCGAUCCGAAUCGAUUGUUUCCUCUCGAUAUAAUCGAAAUUUGGUGAUCGAGUGGCGCUCGAGCAAAUACGCGAGCGAGAGGUUCGUGCAUGCACCUGGUCCCGGUCAUUAAAAAUAGCUUGGAGGUAUUAUUGACCCGAGUAUCUUACAUUUUGGUAGAAAGCCUUACUUUGAACACCUGACCCGCGAUCUUCUUCCGAAGAAAAUAUAGGCAUCAUCGGGACCAGAAUUGUGCAGCGUUUAAUGCAGCAGUGGAUGAUUAUAAUUGAAAAUUUGAUUAUCAACUGCGAUCGAUGAGUAGCAAUCGAUAUCGAAUGCGACGUCAACGAGAUCAACGAUCGAUACACGAGUGUACCUCCAUUAACGUCAAAGUUCAGCAUGGCAGUAAGGGUUUCGCAGUACGUUGCCGGACUGUACGAGUUUGAAUUCAAAUCAUAAAUAAGUUUGUUCCUGAGGAAUAUGAACAAUUGUGUGAUUACAAUGAAGAAAUCGUCUACACACGUUCGAGCGGUAGCGUUCCAGUAAGAUCGGAGUCAAUGAGACGGAACAGCAAGUCAUCGUGAGAAGACGAAUCGCGGGAAAGAAACGGGUGUCAUAGACAAGGCACGGGAUGAUUCUGAAGCGGGUGCAAAGGAAGAAAGGAAA
Molecule: non-coding RNA, 854 nt
Organism: Megalopta genalis
Lineage: Eukaryota; Metazoa; Arthropoda; Insecta; Hymenoptera; Halictidae
Source: RefSeq, a predicted model, not a curated record